Molecule: ribosomal RNA, 443 nt
Filed under: uncultured bacterium
Lineage: Bacteria
Description: partial 16S ribosomal RNA
Rfam family: Bacterial small subunit ribosomal RNA
Source: RNAcentral
CCUACGGGAGGCAGCAGUGGGGAAUAUUGGGCAAUGGAGGCAACUCUGACCCAGCAACGCCGCGUGAAUGAUGAAGGUCUUCGGAUUGUAAAGUUCUGUUAUGGGGGAUGAACACAAUGACGGUACCCCAAUAGCAAGCCACGGCUAACUACGUGCCAGCAGCCGCGGUAAUACGUAGGUGGCAAGCGUUAUCCGGAAUGACUGGGCGUAAAGGGUGCGUAGGUGGUUUAGUAAGUUGGCGGUGUAAUUCCGGGGCUCAACCUCGGCGCUACCGCCAAAACUAUUAGACUAGAGUGCAGGGGGGGUAAGUGGAAGUCCUAGGGUAGCGGUGGAAUGCGUAGAUAUUAGGAGGAACAUCAGGGGCGAAGGCGACUUACUGGACUGUAACUGACACUGAGGCACGAAAGCGUGGGGAGCAAACAGGAUUAGAUACCCUGGUAGUC